GAUGAACGCUGGCGGCGUGCCUAAUACAUGCAAGUCGAGCGAACGGACGCGGAGCUUGCUUCUCUGAUGUUAGCGGCGGACGGGUGAGUAACACGUGGAUAACCUACCUAUAAGACUGGGAUAACUUCGGGAAACCGGAGCUAAUACCGGAUGAUAUUUUGAACCGCAUGGUUCAAAAGUGAAAGACGGUCUUGCUGUCACUUAUAGAUGGAUCCGCGCUGCAUUAGCUAGUUGGUAAGGUAACGGCUUACCAAGGCAACGAUGCAUAGCCGACCUGAGAGGGUGAUCGGCCACCUUGGAACUGAGCCAGGGUCCAGACUCCUACGGGAGGCAGCAGUAGGGAAUCUUCCGCAAUGGGCGAAAGCCUGACGGAGCAACGCCGCGUGAGUGAUGAAGGUCUUCGGAUCGUAAAACUCGGUUAUUAGGGAAGAACAGAUGUGUAAGUAACUGUGCACAUCUUGACGGUACCUAAUCAGAAAGCCACGGCUAACUACGUG
RNAcentral lists this ribosomal RNA (497 nucleotides) under uncultured bacterium. RNAcentral describes it as "partial 16S ribosomal RNA". It matches the Rfam family "Bacterial small subunit ribosomal RNA", at positions 28 to 507 of the family's 1533-position model. The record is from RNAcentral.